RNAcentral lists this transfer RNA (68 nucleotides) under Gandalfus yunohana. RNAcentral's name for it is "tRNA-Lys". The record is from RNAcentral. Lineage: Eukaryota; Metazoa; Arthropoda; Malacostraca; Decapoda; Bythograeidae.
CACCCGAUGACUGAAAGUAAGUAUAGGUCUUUUAAACCUAUAAUAGUAAUAACGCCUACUUCUGGUGA